CACCAACAUGACCAGAACCGAUAAAGUAGGAUCGCAACAGUGGACAGCUGAAUAGGCUGGUCACUUUCACUCCCAUACGAUAAAAAUAAGGGGUAACCUCGCGUUUUUAAAAGUUUUUAAAACUGAAGAGCCACCAAAGUUUUUAUCCUCAUCAGGCAUAAGAGAAGGUGAUAUCUGUUAACAACUUUUCAGCUCAGUAGCUCGCUUCGUCUGAAAACAAGUACGUUUUUAAUUUCAGAGUUAUGGCGGUGCGUGACAUAAAGCUAUGAACGCGGUCAAGAGAAAAUCAGGGCCGCGAUACAUGAAUAACGUGAUCCCGCGAAACGUUCCCGCGUAAAACCGUCUUCCGUGAGAACUUUUCGUGACGCAAGGAAAAAACAAACAAACUGGUAACGAAAGAGAAUCCAACAUGGCGGCGGGAGUUUGCAGUUUUAAGGAGGAUUAUAAACUUAUUUUGGUGCCAAAGGUACAAUGAAUACGUCAUCUAUGGCAUGAUUUACCUUAUUAAACAUAUUUGUGCUCGUCUGGUUGGGAUUUGUGUGCAAAAAAGUGGUUUUGGUGGCUGCAGAACAGUGAAAUGAAGAGUGCUUGUUCGACCCCUCACACGGUACCGCUCAGUGACUAACAAAAGCAAAACUCCUAAAGACCAAGGACAGACUGGAUAAAUAAGACAAGAGGCAACAAAAAAAUAUAGAAGAAAGGAGGGAGCUUUCGAAUUGUUGAUGGACUGAACGUCUAAAUGCAACAUUUCUAACGACCAGAUAUCAAAGCAGAGUCACCUUGACUGACCAGAUCAUCUGGAUGGACGGUGGACAAACCUUGAUAGACAGUGGAGAAAUGAUAAAGGACAGUGGAAAGCCCCAAAUGUGCAGACCCUCAGGAUGCUAGAUAGCUGAGGUCAUAACAACACAGUAUGGACUUUGGAGAGACUA
Orbicella faveolata is the source of this 932-nucleotide long non-coding RNA. RefSeq lists it as uncharacterized. The record is from RefSeq and is a predicted model, not a curated record. NCBI's taxonomy places the organism in Eukaryota, Metazoa, Cnidaria, Anthozoa, Scleractinia, Merulinidae.